This 468-nucleotide ribosomal RNA is filed under the name uncultured bacterium. RNAcentral describes it as "partial 16S ribosomal RNA". It matches the Rfam family "Bacterial small subunit ribosomal RNA", at positions 28 to 507 of the family's 1533-position model. The record is from RNAcentral.
GACGAACGCUGGCGGCGUGCUUAACACAUGCAAGUCGAACGGAAAGGCCCUGCUUUUGUGGGGUGCUCGCGUGGCGAACGGGUGAGUAACACGUGAGUAACCUGCCCUUGACUUUGGGAUAACUUCAGGAAACUGGGGCUAAUACCGGAUAGGAGCUCCUGCUGCAUGGGGGGGGUUGGAAAGUUUCGGCGGUUGGGGAUGGACUCGCGGCUUAUCAGCUUGUUGGGGGGGUAGUGGCUUACCAAGGCUUUGACGGGUAGCCGGCCUGGGAGGGUGACCGGCGACAUUGGGACUGAGGUACGGCCCAGACUCCUACGGGAGGCAGCAGUGGAGAAUAUUGCACAAUGGGCGGAAGCCUGAUGCAGCGACCCCGCGUGCGGGAUGACGGCCUUCGGGUUGUAAACCGCUUUCGCCUGUGACGAAGCGUGAGUGACGGUAAUGGGUAAAGAAGCACCGGCUAACUACGUG